RNAcentral lists this long non-coding RNA (1544 nucleotides) under Carassius auratus (goldfish). RNAcentral's name for it is "lncRNA (ENSCARG00000011415.1)". The record is from RNAcentral. Lineage: Eukaryota; Metazoa; Chordata; Actinopteri; Cypriniformes; Cyprinidae.
UCACCUCAAUACAUACAGUCAGGUCCAGAAGUUUUUGUGAGUUUGGGGUCUGAGUUUUUGUGUUUUUACCUUCAUACACCACUACGAUGGAUUUGAAUCGAGAUUAGCUUCAUUUUAAGAGGUUCCACAAAAAUAUGACAAUUAACAUUUAGGGUUUACAGCCAUUUUAAGCAAAGUACCACCAUUUUCAGGGGCUCAAUAGUAUUUGGACAGUUGACUGAAAAGUUAAUUGACCAGUGGCUGUCCAUUCCCUCGUCACUUCAAGACAAAUUAAGCAGAUAAAAGAGUUGAUAUGAAAUAUCAAAUUGGCAUUUGGAAGCUGUUUGACUGCUGCUACCAAUAUAAAGUCCAAGGAGAUCUUGAUGAAUCCUAUAAGCUAAAAAUCGUCUCAGCAUUUUAAGGCAUAAUAAUCCAUGUGUUUGGCUCUGUGAUGUCAGCUUGCAUUGAAUAUUCCAACAUUUGACUAACCUUCAUAAUUUAGUACGAACCACAUAUUUUAAAUUUUUGACUGACCUGUUAUCGACUUUUGCUGUUUUUUCUUGUAAACGCAACAUACGAUGAUGAACAGCAGAAUCAGGAUCACAGCAGCGCAGCCCAAAGCAAUCAGAUAGAGCAAAUCUAUGGAAGCAAAACACAAGGUCAUUUAAAUCAAACUCCAAAACUGCCUCGAACAGCUCAUUUACACCAACUGGAACACGAAAAAACAACUGUAGCAACUAAAUGCAAUUUAACAGCACAGUUAAUAAGUACAAAAUCAAAUUAGCUAGAGUCUUUAUCAACGUCAUUGUUAUUUGUGGAUUUAUUUGUAAUUGAUUGCAUUUAUUGUAGCUCAACACUCACACUUAAAUCUCUCUUUAGGGCUUGAAAUGACAUCCGUGGUGAUAUUCGUACCAGCCGAUGAGAAACUUGUACCAUUUUCUGAUGUCUGUGAGCUGCUGGUCACUUCAGAGGUCAAACUAGAGGUCACACUAGAGGUCGCACUAGAGGUCACACUAGAGGUCACACUAGAGGUCACACUAGAGGUCACAGCUGCAGUAGUUUCUUCAGGACAGGGUUUGAGUCUAAUGGUCUUCUGUGCGUGACUGACGUGGUUCUUCACGCUGCAGCUGAUGUCUCCAUCAGUUCCUUCAUCCAGAUCAAUGCUGCUGUUUCCAUCCAUCAGUGGAUCUCCAUUCAGAGUCCAGCUGUAGAGGAGCUGAUCCCCCUCAGAGGAGCAGAACACCCUCAUCACCCCACUGGAGGAGCAGAUGAUUGACACUUCCACUGAGCCAAUAGGAGCUGGAGGGAGGGACACAUCACAGUUUUCAAGAAAAUUGCAAUCUGUGUAAGUCUUGGAGAUUUACCUGCUCUCAGAAAUGAGUCCAUCAUCAUCUCAUAUCAUGGAGAACAUCAUAUUAGAAAUGUCUUAGGAAUGGAUGCAGGAUCAGGAGAAUAACAACUGCUGCAUUUCCAUUACAGAUUUAAGCAAAACGUAAGCAAUAUUUUAUGAUAUAAUAUGUUGAUUAAAGAGAAUUGUGAAAUGAUAGUGUUUCUAAUAAAAUAUU